CCCGGCGACCGGCGCACGGGUGAGUAACACGUAUGAAACCUGCCCGUAGCAGGGGGAUAAGCGGAAGAAAUUCCGUCUAAUACCGCGUAACAACCCGAGGAGGCAUCUCCUCGGGUUUAAAGGAAGCGAUUCCGGCUACGGAUGGUCAUGCGUCGCAUUAGCUAGUUGGCGGGGUAACAGCCCACCAAGGCGACGAUGCGUAGGGGUUCUGAGAGGAAGGUCCCCCACACUGGUACUGAGACACGGACCAGACUCCUACGGAAGGCAGCAG
Molecule: ribosomal RNA, 271 nt
Filed under: uncultured bacterium
Lineage: Bacteria
Description: partial 16S ribosomal RNA
Rfam family: Bacterial small subunit ribosomal RNA
Source: RNAcentral